AUUGAACGCUGGCGGCAUGCCUUACACAUGCAAGUCGAACGGCAGCACGGGAGCAAUCCUGGUGGCGAGUGGCGAACGGGUGAGUAAUAUAUCGGAACGUGCCCAGUCGUGGGGGAUAACGCAGCGAAAGCUGUGCUAAUACCGCAUACGAUCUACGGAUGAAAGCGGGGGAUCGCAAGACCUCGCGCGAUUGGAGCGGGCGAUAUCAGAUUAGCUAGUUGGUGGGGUAAAGGCCCACCAAGGCGACGAUCUGUAGCUGGUCUGAGAGGACGACCAGCCACACUGGAACUGAGACACGGUCCAGACUCCUACGGGAGGCAGCAGUGGGGAAUUUUGGACAAUGGGCGCAAGCCUGAUCCAGCAAUGCCGCGUGCAGGAUGAAGGCCUUCGGGUUGUAAACUGCUUUUGUACGGAACGAAACGGCCCUUUCUAAUACAGGGGGCUAAUGACGGUACCGUAAGAACAAGCACCGGCUAACUACGUGCCAGCCGCCGCGGUAA
This 500-nucleotide ribosomal RNA is filed under the name uncultured bacterium. Its description in RNAcentral is "partial 16S ribosomal RNA". It matches the Rfam family "Bacterial small subunit ribosomal RNA", at positions 30 to 523 of the family's 1533-position model. The record is from RNAcentral.